Mesocricetus auratus (golden hamster) is the source of this 256-nucleotide small nucleolar RNA. The record is from Ensembl. Lineage: Eukaryota; Metazoa; Chordata; Mammalia; Rodentia; Cricetidae.
CCGGCUGAUGAGACUAAGGCGAAUGUGACAGCCUACUGACCCUUGGCUUCUGGGGUGGGGAGGGGUGACUCGUGAGAUCUGAGAUCUUGGUGGGGCUGCCCGAGGCCCGACUCCCCACUCUAAGGCCAGAUCAACAGCAUUCUGGCCUUGCCUUCAAGUCUGCUGCCACCUCAGUUCUUGGCAGCACCCUGCAGGGAGGCCCACAGCAGGUGGCCAAAGCGUGAGUAGCCUUGUGAGCACAACCUUGAAUCUGACA